RNAcentral lists this ribosomal RNA (783 nucleotides) under unidentified. RNAcentral's name for it is "bacterial SSU rRNA". It matches the Rfam family "Bacterial small subunit ribosomal RNA", at positions 380 to 1153 of the family's 1533-position model. The record is from RNAcentral.
AGCCUGAUGGAGCACGCCGCGUGAGCGAGGAAGGUCUUCGGAUUGUAAAGCUCUGUUGUUAGGGAAGAACAAGUGUCGUUCGAAUAGGGCGGCACCUUGACGGUACCUAACGAGAAAGCCCCGGCUAACUACGUGCCAGCAGCCGCGGUAAUACGUAGGGGGUCGAGCGUUGUCCGGAAUUAUUGGGCGUAAAGCGCGCGCAGGCGGUCUCUUAAGUCUGAUGUGAAAGCCCACGGCUCAACCGUGGAGGGUCAUUGGAAACUGGGAGACUUGAGUGCAGGAGAGGGAAGCGGAAUUCCACGUGUAGCGGUGAAAUGCGUAGAGAUGUGGAGGAACACCAGUGGCGAAGGCGGCUUCCUGGCCUGUAACUGACGCUGAGGCGCGAAAGCGUGGGGAGCGAACAGGAUUAGAUACCCUGGUAGUCCACGCCGUAAACGAUGAGUGCUAGGUGUUGGGGGUUUCAACACCCUCAGUGCUGAAGUUAACACAUUAAGCACUCCGCCUGGGGAGUACGGCCGCAAGGCUGAAACUCAAAGGAAUUGNCGGGGGCCCGCACAAGCGGUGGAGCAUGUGGUUUAAUUCGAAGCAACGCGAAGAACCUUACCAGGACUUGACAUCCUCUGACCGCCCUAGAGAUAGGGUCUUCCCCUUCGGGGGACAGAGUGACAGGUGGUGCAUGGUUGUCGUCAGCUCGUGUCGUGAGAUGUUGGGUUAAGUCCCGCAACGAGCGCAACCCUUGACCUUAGUUGCCAGCAUUCAGUUGGGCACUCUAAGGUGACUGCC